UGGGCAAUCUGCCCUGCACUCUGGGACAAGCCCUGGAAACGGGGUCUAAUACCGGAUGACACUGUUCCCCUCAUGGGGGACGGUUGAAAGCUCCGGCGGUGCAGGAUGAGCCCGCGGCCUAUCAGCUUGUUGGUGGGGUAAUGGCCUACCAAGGCGACGACGGGUAGCUGGCCUGAGAGGGUGACCGGCCACACUGGGACUGAGACACGGCCCAGACUCCGUACGGGAGGCAG
RNAcentral lists this ribosomal RNA (233 nucleotides) under uncultured bacterium. RNAcentral describes it as "partial 16S ribosomal RNA". It matches the Rfam family "Bacterial small subunit ribosomal RNA", at positions 118 to 351 of the family's 1533-position model. The record is from RNAcentral.